GGAAGAACAAAAGGGCACAUAGGUGGAUGCCUAGGCUCUGGAAGGCGAAGAAAGACGUGGCAAGCUGCGAAAAGCCCCGACGAGGUGCAAGCGACCUUUGACUCGGGGAUUUCUGAAUGGGGCAACCCGGCAGGCUGAAGGCCUGUCAUCCCGACCUGGUCGGGAGGCGAACCCCGGGAACUGAAACAUCUUAGUACCGGGAGGAAGAGAAAACAAACGUGAUUCCCCAAGUAGUGGCGAGCGAACGGGGAACAGCCCAAACCAGGAGGAUUCCGGUCCCCCUGGGGUUGUAGGACUCCGACAUUGCACACAAGUCGCAUAGCAGAACACAUUGGAAAAUGUGACCAUAGCGGGUGAAAGUCCCUUAUGCGAAAUGCGGUUUAGGCAUAGGAGUAUCCUGAGUAGCGCGGAUCACGAGAAAUUCCGUGUGAAUCCGGCGGGCCCAUCCGCCAAGGCUAAAUACUCUCCAGAGACCGAUAGUGAACCAGUACCGUGAGGGAAAGGUGAAAAGAACCCAUAGUAUGGGAGUGAAACAGUCCCUGAAACCAUGUGCCUACAAGCUGUCGGAGCCGCUUUGAAUGCGGUGACGGCGUGCCUUUUGCAUAAUGAACCUACGAGUUGCCGUCGUCAGCGAGGUUAAGCGUAACGAUACGCGCAGCCGAAGCGAAAGCGAGUCUGAACAGGGCAUAUAGUUGCCGGCGGCAGACGCGAAACCAAGUGAUCUACCCAUGACCAGGCUGAAGUCCCGCUAACCCGGGAUGGAGGGCCGCACCAAUAAGCGUUGAAAAGCUUCUGGAUGAGUUGUGGGUAGGAGUGAAAGGCCAAUCAAACUUGGAGAUAGCUCGUACUCCCCGAAAAGCAUUUAGGUGCUGCCUGGGGUGUUUCUCCGUGGAGGUAGAGCGACCGGUAGGAUGCGAGGGUUUCACCGCCUAUCAAGUCCUGUCGAACUCCGAAUGCCACGGUUUUAAGCCCUGGAGAAAGGGGACGGGUGCUAACGUCCGUUCCCGAGAGGAGAAGAAUCCUGACCACCGUCUAAGGUCCCGAAGUUGUGGCUAAGUUAGUCUAACGCAGUUUCCUUCCAGUGACAGCUAGGAUGUUGGCUUGGAAGCAGCCAUUCACUUAAAGAGUGCGUAACAGCUCACUAGUCGAGGAAGGAAGCAUGGAUAAUAAUCGGGUAUCAAGUCACACACCGAAGACGUGGAAUUCUCAUGAAUUGGUAGGGGAGCAUUCCGUUCGGCGUCGAAGCCAUUGCGUGAGCGAUGGUGGAGCGUACGGAAAAGCAGAUGUAGGUAUAAGUAACGAUAAAGGGGGUGAGAUUCCCCCUCGCCGUAAGACCAAGGUUUCCCGGGCGACGUCAAUCGUCCCGGGGUCAGUCGGUGCCUAAGGAUAAGCCGCGAGGCGAGGCCGAUGGAAGAAACGGUUAAUAUUCCGUUACUGUCACUGGGAGCGACGCGGGGACGCGGUCGUGACACCGCCGCCUGCUGACGGAAUAGCAGGUUGAAGGGUGUAGGAGUCGAACGGGGCAGUUAAGUACACCCCGUGAUCCGAACCUGACAGUACGCCAAGGACUCCGGUCCGCGGCGAUAGCGCGGGUAAUCAUGCCGCCGAGAAAAUCCGCUAAGCAUAUGUCAGUGACAGCCGUACCGUAAACGGACACACGUGGUCGGGUAGAGUAUACCAAGGCGCUUGGGUGAUUCGCGGUUAAGGAAUUAGGCAAAUUGACCCCGUAACUUCGGGAUAAGGGGUCCUCGCAUUUUUUGCGAGGCGCAGAGAAUAGGUCCAGGCAACUGUUUACCAAAAACACAGGACUGUGCGAAGUUUAAUAUCGAAGUAUACAGUCUGACACCUGCCCGGUGCUGGAAGGUUAAGAGGAGAGGUCAGAGCAAUCGAAGCCUUGAAUUGAAGCCCCAGUAAACGGCGGCCGUAACUAUAACGGUCCUAAGGUAGCGAAAUUCCUUGUCGGGUAAGUUCCGACCUGCA
This 1980-nucleotide ribosomal RNA is filed under the name gut metagenome. RNAcentral's name for it is "bacterial LSU rRNA". It matches the Rfam family "Bacterial large subunit ribosomal RNA", at positions 1 to 1992 of the family's 2925-position model. The record is from RNAcentral.